CCUAUGGGUGGCAGCAGUGGGGAAUAUUGGGCAAUGGGCGAAAGCCUGACCCAGCGACGCCGCGUGGGCGAUGAAGGCCUUCGGGUUGUAAAGCCCUGUCAUGCGGAAAGAACGACCCUGUGACGCAUACUCACAGGGAGUGACGGUACCGCAGGAGGAAGCACCGGCUAACUCCGUGCCAGCAGCCGCGGUAAUACGGAGGGUGCAAGCGUUGUUCGGCAUUAUUGGGCGUAAAGGGCGCGUAGGCGGUAAUGCAAGUCAGAUGUGAAAUACUCCGGCUCAACUGGGGAACUGUAUCUGAAACUGCAGAACUAGAGUACAGAAGAGGGAAACGGAAUUCCCGGUGUAGAGGUGAAAUUCGUAGAUAUCGGGAGGAACACCAGUGGCGAAGGCGGUUUCCUGGUCUGAUACUGACGCUGAGGCGCGAAAGUGUGGGGAGCAAACA
This 445-nucleotide ribosomal RNA is filed under the name uncultured prokaryote. RNAcentral describes it as "bacterial SSU rRNA". It matches the Rfam family "Bacterial small subunit ribosomal RNA", at positions 338 to 774 of the family's 1533-position model. The record is from RNAcentral.